This is a non-coding RNA of Macaca mulatta (Rhesus monkey), 3186 nucleotides long. The record is from RefSeq and is a predicted model, not a curated record. NCBI's taxonomy places the organism in Eukaryota, Metazoa, Chordata, Mammalia, Primates, Cercopithecidae.
CUCCAAACAGGUCCAGCUCUGGAAUAGAAAUGCUAGAGCUCGCUGGUGGGGAGAGGGAUUGGCGCCCGAUGUGGGAGGAAGAGAACAGAGGCUGCUUGGGGUGGGCCCCUUGUUCCCCAGAGCCUCACCAUUCCCUUGCCCCACUCACCCACAGGGCUGCUGGGCUUCCCAGAGGGCAGGGCCUGCUCCAUCCCCUCCUUGAUCUCUGUGGAUUCUGGAGGUUUGGCAAAUGAGUCAAAGGCCGAGGCAGCACCUACAGCUGGGGGAAGAGAGGGAGAGGAGAUGGAUUGGCAAAAAGAGCAGGUGCUGGUCUAACCCCUUUCCAGAGAAGCUACCCUCGUAACACAUACAGUAUCUGCUUCCCCCUUGGCUCUGCCUGGAAGUCCUCCAGCCCCUCACUCACAUGCUCUGGCCCUCUUCUUACCAGGAGCUGGGCCCUUCAGACAUUCUCCAUAGCCCUCACUAUGAAAGCCUGUCCCACAGGCGGCGGAGGCUCAAGGUGAUACCUAUUCAUGAUCCCUCACCUCGACAUAGUGCUUUACAGUUUAUAAUGUUUCUUCAUCCACAGAGUACCUGAUUUUCAUAACAACCCUGUGAGGUCAGUGUCCAAGAGAAAUUGGCCACAGUGAACAUGGGCGGAAAGGAGACCGCAGCACCCGGGCAUGACAUGGACAGCUUUGGAGGGCAGCCUUGCACUCAGCAGCUGCUCACUCCCCAUGUGGAGAAAAUACGUCCAUGAGCCCGCGGUGUUUUCAGCACCAUGUGCCUGGGCCCACCUUAGUCUUGAUCGACAGUAUCACAUAAUCCUAACAUGUCAGAGCUGGAACUAUCCAAUAAGCACACUGUGCAGAAGGGGAAACUGAGGCCAUGACAGUGACAUGCCCCAAGUCAUAGAGUAAGUGGCAGCAAAUUCAGAACCCAAAUCCAGGGGUCUCUGAUCAGGAUCCCUGUGCAUCCCACUUUGCUGUUAACUCAGUCAUCAGCCCAUGCAGGGUGGGACUAGGGCUGCUACACCCCCACACCUAUUUCAUCUAAUAAACAUGUUAGUGCUUACUAUAUGCCAAGCACUACUCUGCUCUCUCUUUACAAAUACUCAGUCCGUGUCUCAGGCCCUGUCCAUCCCACGCACCCCAGCCCACUCCCUACCUGGCUGGUUUUUAGUUUCUCUUCCUCCUUUUUCUCUUCUGUCUCGGUCUCUCUGUCCCGCCGAUGGUGGACAGCAGGCCCUGCACCAUUGGCCAUGGGGGAGCCAUCACCCCGCCAGGAUUUCACCUCCUGCAGAAGGCACAGAAAGGGUCAGGACAUGAGCGGCGCAGGCUGGAAUCCGGGGACCUGUGCACCCGAGGCUGGAGUCGAGAGAGUGCAGGUGGGAGGCAGCUGAGAGGUUAGGAGCGGCAGGGCCACCGGGUACAGCAGGAGGAGCCUGUUAGUGCCCUGAAGCACCUCCAUCACCAGCAGCAACAGCAGCACCGGCGGCCGGGAGGGCUCAGCCCACUACCUUCUCGUGCUCCUGCCGGCUCAGGCGCAGAGCCAGCUGCAGCUGCAGGUCCUCAUCCCUGUGGGAGGCUGGGGGGACAGGCUGCGGAGGAAGAGAGGUGUGAACUUGGCCCUGUACUCCCACCUUGGGAGCAGAAGGGCAGUAUAGCCCUGCCUGGGUCAUGGGGAUGGAGAGACAGAUGCCCAGCCUCAGUAUGCAUGGGCCAUUUGCCCCUCAGUCAGCAGGGUGGGCGUGGCCUUCUCCCUGCCUGCAUCUGAAAUGCAGUUUAAAGAUCAGGAAGACUGAUCUUUUGCUUCUGAAUCCUCUGAGAGUUCUCUAGGCCCUCCUGUGUGAGGCCCAGCUGCUUCCUGCCUGGUCUUCCUGGAUCCACAGAGGUAGUGGCAAAGUUGAUGAUAUCGGGGGCCCAUCCUUGUCUCCCCACGAGGAUAGCUGGUGGGCGGGGGCGGGCAGCAUAUCCCAGUGUCUCCUAGCAGUGUCUGAGCUCACUCACCCCUUCCACCAUGAGGUGGUAGCAGGCCCCCCGAGACACAUCAGGUGCCCCUAAUUGCACACUCGCUACUCUUUCCAGGCCAGGUGGAGAGGACUGGAGGCGGGGAGGCAGUCCCUGCCUGCGACAGACCGACAGAGACAGUGGGUCUUGUGCUGUCCUUGGGCACAGGAGUGGGGCUUCGGGUGACAGAGCCUGAGUCAAGGCUGAGGGGCUCCCAGGCAUUCUCCCUCUAGCCCAUCCCCUCUCCACCACAGUGGGGUUGCGUGGCCUCACCUUCUCUGCCUCCUCACGGCUCAUGGCUAGGGCCAGCUGCAGCUGCAGUUCCUCUUCCCCUGACGUCUGAGGCCGGGCCUGCUCCAGGUCGGAGGUAUAGCGGGGUGACGAAGAGGAGGCUGCAACGACCAUCAUGUCUCUGUGACCACACGAUUACCCAUUAGCUUCCACACCCCUCUGCCUGCCAGGAAGCUGAGGCUCAAAGAAGAGAACUGAGAGGAGGGGAACAACAGGCCGUGGAGGCCCCCGUGGGCCAGGCAGUGUGCUGGGCACUCUCUGUAAGUUCCCCAUCCCACCCUGUCCCGGUGGGACGGCUCCAAUCCCUCCUUAGCAGAUGCACAGGCAGCACUUAGGGCACCUGACCAGGGUCCUCAAGCAGGACUUGAACCCAGGUGCCCUGACUCCAGCUCUUGGACUUCCAGAUGGACCCUGUCCUGCCUGGGGGCAAGGGAAGUGCAAGGAUAGGAGGUUCUAGUCCAACGAGGUCACAGCCUCACAGCCCUCAGCAAACUGUCAAAGGCUUUAUGGAAGGCGGGCCAUUCUGAGUAUUCCUCAGAUCGGGGAAGCCCCCACAACUCAGGGCAGGACAGUCAGGGACUGUCCGGCAGCUGCCCUCAGGUAGGGGGAUGAAGGGGAAUGCCAUAUGUCUGGGCUCAGGGUAGAGGACAUUGCUGAGCCUGGUCUCAUUUCAUUCUCAAAUCAAACAGUGGAGGUAGGUGAGCUUAUCUCCACUGUACAGAUGAGGAAACUGAGGUUCAGAGAACUGGUUGCCCAGGUCACACAGCUUGGAGGAAGCAGAAUAAAGAAUGCUAUCUGUCUCCAAACCCAUGCUUCCACCAUCAUGCCAUCCUAUCAAGACAGCUAACGAAUGAUGAUGAAUCUGUAACAACAUUAUUAUCUGAGCUAACUUGUUGAGCACCUCCUA